GACGAACGCUGGCGGCGUGCUUAACACAUGCAAGUCGAACGGAAAGGCCCUGCUUUUGUGGGGUGCUCGAGUGGCGAACGGGUGAGUAACACGUGAGUAACCUGCCCUUGACUUUGGGAUAACUUCAGGAAACUGGGGCUAAUACCGGAUAGGAGCUCCUGCUGCAUGGUGGGGGUUGGAAAGUUUCGGCGGUUGGGGAUGGACUCGCGGCUUAUCCGCUUGUUGGUGGGGUAGUGGAUUACCAAGGCUUUGACGGGUAGGCCGCCUGGGAGGGUGACCGGCGACAUUGGGCCUGAGGUACGGCCCAGUCUGCUACGGGAGGCAACAGGGGGAAAUAUUACACAGUGGGCGGAAGCCUGAUGCAGCAACGCCGCGUGCGGGAAGACGGCCUUCGGGUUAUGAACAGCUUUCGCCGGUGACGAAGCGUGAGUGACGGUAAUGGGUAAAGAAGCACCGGCUAACUACGUG
Molecule: ribosomal RNA, 468 nt
Filed under: uncultured bacterium
Lineage: Bacteria
Description: partial 16S ribosomal RNA
Rfam family: Bacterial small subunit ribosomal RNA
Source: RNAcentral